ACGGCUCAGUAACACGUGAUCAACUUACCCUAUAGAGGAAAAUAACCUCGGGAAACUGAGGAUAAUGUUCCAUAAUUGAAUCGGCUUGGAAAAGUUUUUCAAUAAAAGGGAUAAGAAAAAUGGUUCUUAUCUGCUAUAGGAUAGGAUCGUGCUCGAUUAUGGUUGUUGGUGAGGUAAAGGCCCACCAAGCCGAUAAUCGAUAGGGGCCGUGAGAGCGGGAGCCCCGAGAUGGGUACUGAGACAACGACCCAGGCCUUACGAGGCGCAGCAGGCGCGAAACCUCCGCAAUACACGAAAGUGUGACGGGGUUACCCAAAGUGUUCUAUUUAGAACUGUGGUAGGUGAGUAAUGUCCCCUACUAGAAAGGAGAGGGCAAGGCUGGUGCCAGCCGCCGCGGUAAAACCAGCUCUUCAAGUG
RNAcentral lists this ribosomal RNA (417 nucleotides) under uncultured archaeon. RNAcentral's name for it is "bacterial SSU rRNA". It matches the Rfam family "Archaeal small subunit ribosomal RNA", at positions 85 to 490 of the family's 1478-position model. The record is from RNAcentral.